This is a non-coding RNA of Trichonephila clavipes, 73 nucleotides long. Lineage: Eukaryota; Metazoa; Arthropoda; Arachnida; Araneae; Nephilidae. The record is from the annotation of a GenBank genome assembly.
GUCCCUGUAGCGCAAUGGGUAACUCGUUGGACUUGUAAUCCAAAGGUUGUGGGUUCGAUUUCCACGUGGGAUG